RNAcentral lists this long non-coding RNA (237 nucleotides) under Nicotiana benthamiana. Its description in RNAcentral is "long non-coding RNA (NBEN_LNC009012)". The record is from RNAcentral. Lineage: Eukaryota; Viridiplantae; Streptophyta; Magnoliopsida; Solanales; Solanaceae.
CAACAUAAGUGCCAAACACCAAAUAAUUCAACUGAGUAUAUUUUUGCUGGAAACAACAUGAAACCUACCAAAUAAUUAAGUUAAAUCUAUGUUACAAGACUCUUUUACGGAAACAUAUCCGAUAUGAGGAUGUGCAGGUAUCCAGUUCAGGUACGUCUUAUUCUUUUUCUAAUUUUUAGUCUAUUAGAAGGAUCUGCUUGAAGUAAAGGCAUACAUAUUUCACCAGUUCGAGAUGAG